This 28-nucleotide small RNA is filed under the name Bombyx mori (domestic silkworm). RNAcentral describes it as "piRNA piR-bmo-1401404". The record is from RNAcentral. Lineage: Eukaryota; Metazoa; Arthropoda; Insecta; Lepidoptera; Bombycidae.
UAUGAUAAUGUAGAUCUUCACCAAUUAA